RNAcentral lists this long non-coding RNA (721 nucleotides) under Lonchura striata (white-rumped munia). RNAcentral describes it as "domestica (Bengalese finch) lncRNA (ENSLSDG00000013181.1)". Lineage: Eukaryota; Metazoa; Chordata; Aves; Passeriformes; Estrildidae. The record is from RNAcentral.
GUUUUUCAAUACAGAGUUCACACUGGUUUCAUACGUGAUGAGGAGACAAGCAAACAGUGGAGAACAGCAGUAGAUACAAUGCAGAUAAGCAAGAAAGAAAAAUUAAGGACGAAAAGAUGGAGCUGUUUCUAAAAAAUCAGGUUACAUCCCAAUCCAACAGAAAUUUGCUUAACCGUGUGAGAAGAUGAUGCAUUUCCAACCGGGUUGUUGAUGGCUGAAGACCACAGUUCAGCCUUAGCAUGGGUAACUGCUGGCACUACAGUGCUCACCUUGAAUGAGACAAUAUUGGGAAGGUAAUCUACAAACAGCUAACAAAGAUGGCACACUUGGAAAUAAUACCAUAAAGGCUCAUUAUUUUAAACAACUAUUGAUUACAUCUUGGGGAUUUUCACCAAUUCCACUUGAUGCUGCUUUUAAAAUGUUCUUUGGCCUGUUAAUGAUUAAAGAUUUGGAUUUCCCUCUUUACACUAAAUACUUUUAUGGAGUCUACUUGAGCGCUGAUCUUUGCAUGGAAAUAACAGAAAAUUCCAAGAAAUGGAAGCCGCUGCUAGUAAAAGAAGAAAAGCCGAGUAUCGUCAGGGUUAAUAGCUCCUAUUUGAGAUCCAUGAAUGAUUACAAAGUUACUUUUCUAUAUCGAACUUUCAAGUCUCAUUAAUAAUAUGCUGCCUCUCCAGGACACAGGUGCACUCACGGUACAAAGGCUAUCGGUUCAUCACAUGGA